UACGGGGGGGGCAAGCGUUGUCCGGAAUCACUGGGCGUAAAGGGCGCGUAGGCGGCCUGAUAAGUAGGGGGUGAAAUCCUGCGGCUUAACCGCAGGGCUGCCUUCUAAACUGUCAGGCUAGAGCACAGUAGAGGCAGGUGGAAUUCCCGGUGUAGCGGUGGAAUGCGUAGAGAUCGGGAAGAACAUCAGUGGCGAAGGCGGCCUGCUGGGCUGUUGCUGACGCUGAGGCGCGACAGCGUGGGGAGCAAACAGG
Molecule: ribosomal RNA, 253 nt
Filed under: uncultured bacterium
Lineage: Bacteria
Description: partial 16S ribosomal RNA
Rfam family: Bacterial small subunit ribosomal RNA
Source: RNAcentral